UACCGCGGUUACACGAGAGACUCAAGUUAAUAGACUACGGCGUAAAGCGUGGUUAGGGGCCCUAACAACUAAAGCCAAAGAUCUUCUAUGUCGUCGCACGCACCGCGAAGAUACGAAGCCCAAACACGAAAGUUGCUUUAUUUACCCUGACCCCACGAAAGCUAAGACA
Molecule: ribosomal RNA, 169 nt
Filed under: Acestrorhynchus cf. falcatus LMB-2020
Lineage: Eukaryota; Metazoa; Chordata; Actinopteri; Characiformes; Acestrorhynchidae
Description: partial small subunit ribosomal RNA
Source: RNAcentral